Molecule: ribosomal RNA, 460 nt
Filed under: uncultured bacterium
Lineage: Bacteria
Description: partial 16S ribosomal RNA
Rfam family: Bacterial small subunit ribosomal RNA
Source: RNAcentral
CCUACGGGGUGCAGCAGUGAGGAAUAUUGGUCAAUGGACGCAAGUCUGAACCAGCCAUGCCGCGUGCAGGAAGGCGGCUCUAUGAGUUGUAAACUGCUUUUGUACGAGGGUAAAUCCCGAUACGUGUAUCGGGUUGAAAGUAUCGUAAGAAUAAGGAUCGGCUAACUCAGUGCCAGCAGCCGCGGUAAUACGGAGGAUUCAAGCGUUAUCCGGAUUUAUUUGGUUUAAAGGGUGCGUAGGCGGUUCGAUAAGUUAGAGGUGAAAUCCCGGGGCUCAACUCCGGCACUGCCUCUGAUACUGUCGGUCUAGAGUUUAGUUGCGGUAUGCGGAAUGCGUGGUGUAGCGGGGAAAUGCAUAGAUAUCACGCAGAACCCCGAUUGCGAAGGCAGCAUACCGGCGCUCAACUGACGCUGAGGCACGAAAGUGCGGGUAUCGAACAGGAUUAGAUACCACUGUAGUC